Molecule: long non-coding RNA, 1217 nt
Organism: Falco peregrinus (peregrine falcon)
Lineage: Eukaryota; Metazoa; Chordata; Aves; Falconiformes; Falconidae
Exons: 2
Source: RefSeq, a predicted model, not a curated record
CCUAGCAACGGCGGCCGCGGGGGGACCGGCCCGCCACGGGGGAGCCAGGGCCGCCACGGCGGCGGGGGUGGCUGCCGGGGACGGCGGCAGGCUCCGGCCCCCCUGAGCGCGGAGGGAGCGUGGGGGCUCGUUCUUCUCACCGCAGGCAGGGCGGCGGCAGCCACAGCCUUCACCGCCUCAGGGAGCGCGGGGGCCCUGCGUCCCUGCCGCCGGUGCCACCGGGGGCCGCAGCACUCGGAGGGGGACCCUUGCGACCCUGAGCAAAGCCACCGCUCAUGCUGGCACGGGCACCCCUUUCGGGCUGAGGGUUAGUGGUGUCUGGGGCUGAAUUUCCUUCAUUUUCCCUGCUUUUACCACGAAGCCAGGCCCUGCCCAGCAAGGACUUCAGCUCCCUGACAGGGGUAAAUGAGACGGAAGGAGAGGCCGGGAACCCCCGCUUUUCCUCUGUGUUGUGAGGUUAUAAUAUAGACACCAGUCAGAGAAAUACUGGCAUGAAAGAAACAUAAAUGGAAAUGUGUGCAUCAGAGGUGAUCAGGAAAAAACAAUGACCAGUAACAGAACGGCCUGUGCACUCCCAUCAGUCAAGCUCAGGAGGUGUGAGCUCCCAUCCAGCUUGGAGAACCACACUGGUAAGGCUCAGGACCAACCAUGCAGCCGAAGACACUGUGCCCCAGCAAGAGGAGGAUGCAGCAGACACUAUUGCUCCUCCUGCCAGCCUGCGGGGAAGGCGAGCACAGUGAAGGAAAACCCCAAACAACUGCUGACUCUGAGAGGACAGAGAACUGUCUCAUUUAUCAUCUGCCAGUGAAAACCCCAGAGACACGUUUUACAGCUGGCAUCCCUUGUCCUCUACAUCAUAUACUGGGAGUCCUGGGCAGACAAGGUGGGAACACAACAGGCCUGAGAGUAGACAACUGAAAUAUCUGAGAGGAUGCGAAUGGGACUAGCAGAUGCCAGGCCAGCCAACACAUCCUUGGAAGAAGGAACAGUUCUGGGAGCAUGGUCAGAGCAAGCCGGGCUAUGCCAAGCACCCUGCAACUGCACCUCUUGGAGCCUGCAGCGUUACUGUUGCGCUGGAGCUUGGUGUAAAUCCAGCAUCCUUCCUAACAAGCCACCCACAAACCACACGCUCCCUGGCAAGGCCUGUUACAACCUACAGUCAUUCAAACAAAACAUUGAGAAAGGGAGGGAAAAAAUAAAAUCAUGUCUGCCACUAA